RNAcentral lists this ribosomal RNA (505 nucleotides) under uncultured bacterium. RNAcentral describes it as "partial 16S ribosomal RNA". It matches the Rfam family "Bacterial small subunit ribosomal RNA", at positions 29 to 523 of the family's 1533-position model. The record is from RNAcentral.
AGUGAACGCUGGCGGUAGGCCUAACACAUGCAAGUCGAACGGCAGCACAGGAGAGCUUGCUCUCUGGGUGGCGAGUGGCGGACGGGUGAGGAAUACAUCGGAAUCUACUCUGUCGUGGGGGAUAACGUAGGGAAACUUACGCUAAUACCGCAUACGACCUACGGGUGAAAGCAGGGGACCUUCGGGCCUUGCGCGAUUGAAUGAGCCGAUGUCGGAUUAGCUAGUUGGCGGGGUAAAGGCGCACCAAGGCGACGAUCCGUAGCUGGGCUGAGAGGAUGGUCAGCCACACUGGAACGGAGAGACGGUCCAGACUCCAACGGGAGGCAGCAGUGGGGAGUAUUGGACAAUGGGCGCAAGCCUGAUCAGGCAAUACCGCGUGGGUGAAGAAGGCCUUCGGGUUGUAAAGCCCUUUUGUUGGGAAAGAAAUCCAGCUGCUAAUACCCGGUUGGGAUGACGGUACCCAAAGAAUAAGCACCGGCUAACUUCGUGCCAGCCGCCGCGGUAA